This 252-nucleotide ribosomal RNA is filed under the name uncultured bacterium. RNAcentral's name for it is "partial 16S ribosomal RNA". It matches the Rfam family "Bacterial small subunit ribosomal RNA", at positions 524 to 776 of the family's 1533-position model. The record is from RNAcentral.
UACGAAGGGGGCUAGCGUUGCUCGGAAUCACUGGGCGUAAAGGGCGCGUAGGCGGCCGGGUCAGUCGGGCCUGUAAGUGCGGGGCUCAACCCCGUGAUGGGCUCGGGACGGCACGGCUGGGGCGCGGCAGAGGGAGACGGAAUGCCGGGUGUAGUGGUGAAAUUCGUAGAUAUUCGCAAGAACACCAGUGGCGAAGGCGGCUCACUGGCCCGGUACUGACGCUGAGGUGCGAAAGCGUGGGGAGCAAACAGG